UUAUCAAAUCUUAUGAUUCGAUUCAAUUCUCGAUUCGUAAAAUAAGGAUUUCGAUUCUCAAUUCUAAUCUUAAUUUGACAACUAUGCUCUACUCAUACAAUACCUUUUAGAGCAGUGAAUUGUUUUAACACAACUCUUGGCAAAUUAUUGGAAGUUGUUCCAAGUGUAGCGGGAAGCUAAAAUAUAAGAAGGAUGUUGUCACUUUUACAUCAAAACUGAUACUUUUUUCCUGUGUUAAAUGGCUUGGGGGACUAGCAAGACGGUAAAAAAACUUGAGAAUUAGAAAGGUCAUUGUAGUGAUUAUUCUCAUUUCAGGAAAUGCCUGUGAUUGCUUCUUUUUGGUUUGUUUUUCUUGUGCCUGCUUCUAUAUUUGUGCCUAUUUGUGUGCAAAUGAAUGUGGGUGUUCAGCUGCUUGUACAUAUUUUUUUAUUGAAGUAUUUUCAACCGCUAAUUUUUUUUUAUUGAAGCAUUUUCAAUGGCUAAUUAAGAAGAUGCACAACUUGUUGCUUCAAGUGGCUUUUAAUCUAUUCUUAUUUAUUUAACGUUUUAAAAUAGGAUUAUAUUGCACAAAGGGCCAAUUUGGGUUUGAGGCGGCCAAAAGUUCAGUUCCUGAAACCAGUAAUGGUUUGUUGUAAGGGUCUCAUUGCUUGCUCAGUUUUGAGG
Molecule: unclassified non-coding RNA, 663 nt
Filed under: Hevea brasiliensis (rubber tree)
Lineage: Eukaryota; Viridiplantae; Streptophyta; Magnoliopsida; Malpighiales; Euphorbiaceae
Source: RNAcentral